GCAUCAUAUGGUUCAUGUGGGCACACAUGAACCCUCAUCACAUACAUACAUAUCAUUUAUGCACAUGCAUAUAAUCAUGGCAUAUUACAUAAUCAUGUAAGACAGGACUCCACAUCCUAUCCUAGUGGACAUGACCUUUCCAAUUGUGCUUGACCUUCUAGAACAUCUAUGAGCCCGACACUCUAGGUCCGACCAUAUGAACCUAGGGCUCUGAUACCAUUCUGUAACAGCCCGAAAAUCCGGAC
Molecule: long non-coding RNA, 245 nt
Filed under: Manihot esculenta (cassava)
Lineage: Eukaryota; Viridiplantae; Streptophyta; Magnoliopsida; Malpighiales; Euphorbiaceae
Description: long non-coding RNA (MESC_LNC012319)
Source: RNAcentral